This is a long non-coding RNA of Zea mays, 774 nucleotides long. RefSeq lists it as uncharacterized. The record is from RefSeq and is a predicted model, not a curated record. Lineage: Eukaryota; Viridiplantae; Streptophyta; Magnoliopsida; Poales; Poaceae. The transcript has 2 exons.
AGGCAGCUACACCGGGAGCUUUAUUUGAGGAUAAACCCCAAUCUGCAAAUGAUACAUGGAGAAAACUCCACUCUGAUCCUCUACUCCUAAUAAGGCAGCGGGAGCAGGAUGCGAUUUCAAGGAUUAAAAACAAUCCAAUCAAUCAAGAUGGCCGAGAUAAAGAAAUCUGUAAGUUUAUGUUUCCUUUCUUAACGUGGAAUCUUGGCUUCUGAGUAGCGUAACUAGUGAAUAGUUGCUUUGUAAUUGACUAAUUGUUGGUUUGUCACAAACGUAUAUGAUCGAGGCAUCUACCUAACACCUUUUACUCAAAUCAUGCUUAGUAUUUCAUUUCAGUCAUGUUUUGUGUGAAGUGAUCUAUGGAGAUGUAUUGGUCGACAGGUUAAACAUGCAUAUAGAGGAGUGUGGUGAUCAGGGCGCCAUGAGAACUCAUUAUGGGCAUGAACAAGAUUUGAACAGCUACAGAACUUUAUAGCUGGGGCAACCACUGCCAUAUGAUCAAGAUCUGGGGCAACCACUGCCAUAUGAACAAGUUUUGAAGAGAGAAACAUCAAGUAAGUGCCAACAUCACAACCCCUACAAGCUUGUGCCUUAAAACAAGAGGAUACAAGAAGUUGGAGUGCUUUUGUGAAGGCUUUUGUGACUCACUUGAAGCGUUGGUACUUUUGUGAAUGAUUUUGUAAAGUGUUUGUAAAUAUGUGCAAAAUAUAAUAACAUGUGUAGGUUUUGUGAAUGAUUUUGUUGUGGUGCUUGUUGAUGGUUUAUGUGAUGUGGAUC